Molecule: ribosomal RNA, 484 nt
Filed under: uncultured bacterium
Lineage: Bacteria
Description: partial 16S ribosomal RNA
Rfam family: Bacterial small subunit ribosomal RNA
Source: RNAcentral
AUUGAACGCUGGCGGCAGGCCUAACACAUGCAAGUCGAGCGGAUGAAGGGAGCUUGCUCCUGGAUUCAGCGGCGGACGGGUGAGUAAUGCCUAGGAAUCUGCCUGGUAGUGGGGGAUAACGUCCGGAAACGGGCGCUAAUACCGCAUACGUCCUGAGGGAGAAAGUGGGGGAUCUUCGGACCUCACGCUAUCAGAUGAGCCUAGGUCGGAUUAGCUAGUUGGUGGGGUAAAGGCCUACCAAGGCGACGAUCCGUAACUGGUCUGAGAGGAUGAUCAGUCACACUGGAACUGAGACACGGUCCAGACUCCUACGGGAGGCAGCAGUGGGGAAUAUUGGACAAUGGGCGAAAGCCUGAUCCAGCCAUGCCGCGUGUGUGAAGAGGGUCUUCGGAUUGUAAAGCACUUUAAGUUGGGAGGAAGGGCAGUAAGUUAAUACCUUGCUGUUUUCACGUUACCAACAGAAUAAGCACCGGCUAACUUCGUG